UACGAAGGACCCGAGCGUUAUCCGGAUUUAUUGGGUUUAAAGGGUGCGUAGGCGGAUUAAUAAGUCAGUGGUGAAAGCCCAUCGCUUAACGAUGGAACUGUCAUUGAUACUGUUAGUCUUGAGUAUGGUUGAGGUGGGCGGAAUGUGUCAUGUAGCGGUGAAAUGCUUAGAUAUGACACAGAACACCAAUUGCGAAGGCAGCUCGCUAAACCAUAACUGACGCUGAGGCACGAAAGCGUGGGGAGCGAACAGG
This 253-nucleotide ribosomal RNA is filed under the name uncultured prokaryote. Its description in RNAcentral is "partial 16S ribosomal RNA". It matches the Rfam family "Bacterial small subunit ribosomal RNA", at positions 524 to 776 of the family's 1533-position model. The record is from RNAcentral.